CCCUGCUUUUACCAUCUCUCUCACUCUCAUCCAUCUUCUUGUUCUGACUGUGAGCCAACCUGUUGUAGCUCUUCCACACCCCCUAAACUUUCCCCUUUAGAGGUAUUUGCUUCAUUCAUUCACUCUCUCUUUCCCUCACACACCCUCUUUAGUCUCUCUUGGAUUCUCACACUCCUAGUCCCAGGACAGUCCACAACAAAGGUGUGUAAAGCUAUAACUGGUUCUUGGAUUGGAUUAUUACCUGACGGAUCUCCAGUGGCUCAAACAGGAUUGCAUUUAGAGGAGGAUCAUGAUGCAGGAUACAGUGGGAGAGAUAAAAGGGAGAGAGCGAAGCAGCUAAAUAAAGCAGGGAACAAGCCCGUCUCAGGACAUCAGUCCAAAGAAGAGGAUCUGCUGGCAGAGAGAUAAGAGGAGGGAGGACAGGGAACCACAGAAAAGAGAGAGAGAAUGGGAUAUUGCGGCAUAUGGAUCUUCCUCUUGUUCCUGUCUCUCUGCUAUCAAAGCAGCACUGCAGAGGCUGAAGUAUGCCGUACAGCCAUGCCUGCUGAUAUAGUGUUUCUGGUGGAUGACUCCUGGUCAGUCGGACCGACCAGUUUCCAGCAAAUCAAAGAGUUCAUAGCGGACAUCAUCCGAGCCUUCCAGGGAAAUGUGUUCGGACAGGAAGGCAUUCGCUUUGGGGUGACCGUCUAUUCAGACUUGCCCAGGAUGCGUAUCGCUCUGACGGAUUAUUCCACUCUGGAUGAGGUGCUGCGGGCCGUGGAGGACGUGCCGUAUGAGGGGGGCAGCAGCCGCACUGGCCUGGCAUUGGAGUUCCUGGAGGAGUCUGUGUUCAGUCCUUCUAUCAUCAGAGAAAGCGCCCCAAAGAUUGCUGUCCUGAUCACUAAUGGCCAAUCUGAUGAUCAAGUGGACGAUCCAGCCAAAGCUGUAGCAGACAGUGGGAUUUCACUGUUUGCAGUUGGGGUGAGGAAUGCCGAUCAGUCUGAGCUGAAGAAGAUCGUCACAGAGCCUCAUGAGGAACAUCUGAUGCUCAGUCCAGACUUCUCCUUCCUGGAGCAUCUGCUGCCCAAACUCUCUCGCCGCAUCUGCUUCACUGCUUCGGAACCACCUCGACCUGUUAAACAAAAGCCGCCAGUGGUGGAAAGGAUAAUCGGGCCUAAAGAUCUGCAAGUGAGUGAGCUGAGCUACAGCUCUCUACAGCUGACCUGGAGUCAGGCCACAGGAGACGUUACCGGCUACAGGCUGCUCAUCACCCCUGUGUCUCCAAAGGGCCAUCUGCUUCCUGCACAGCAGACGCAGAUUGAUCUAAAGGGAGAUAUCAGUAGUACUCCAGUAACCGGGUUGAAUCCGAAGACUGAAUAUUCUCUCAGUGUGUACGCCAUCUAUCCUGGACGCAUUGGAGAGUCUGCUACUGUUGCCACAGUAACCACUGCUCUGCCAGCCGUUGCCAACUUCCGUGUGAUUGAAGAAGGACUUUUCUCUUUGCGCCUGGGAUGGACGCCUGCACUUGGAAAAGUGGAUGGAUAUAAAAUUUAUGUUCCAAGAACCGACAGACCCGGACUCAUAUAUGAGCAGAUGUUGUCAGGCGACACUUCCUCUCAUGUGAUCGACACUUUAGAAGAGGAUAAAGAGUACACCGUCAACAUCUACUCCAUCUACCCGGAAGGCCACAGUGAGCCUGUAUCUAUCACUGGGAAAACUUUGAAAUUGGUGCCAGUCGGUGAUUUGCUGGUGCAGAACGCCACUACAGACACAGUUCAGGCCCGCUGGUCAUCUGUCCGAGGCGCUACAGGAUACAGACUCACCUGGUCAUCCUCAGAGGGACACAUAGAAAAUGUGAACCUGGGAGACAACUUUAAUUUCUACAUGGUGCAGGGGCUUCAUGCUGGCACUGAAUACACUAUCACUAUUAACCCUAUAUUCGGGGACAUUGAGGGACCUGUGACCUCUGCCAAAGCCAAGACAUUGGAGAGCAGCGCAGUUCAGACUCUGCGAGCGUCAGCUGUAAGCACCAGCAGCGCUGUCACUUCUUGGAACUCAGUACCCGGAGCCACGGGAUACAGACUGGCCUGGGGCCCGACAGCAGAGUUCACAGGCAGAGAUCGGCCGAGGCAGCUGGCUCUGAAUGGCAGCACUACUGAAUAUAUUCUGAAGAAUCUGGUUCACGACACAGAGUAUGUGCUUUCUCUAUAUGUGCUCUUUGGCUCAGUGGUCGGUCCGGGCAUCACUGCUACAUUCAGGACUUCUCCUCUCGGAUACGUCUCAAAUUUUAAAGUGACUUCAUACACCAGCUCAUCCAUUCACGUGGAAUGGAGUCCUAUUGUAGGAGCCACCGAAUACAAACUCACCUGGAGUUCAGAAUUCAUUCGUCCUCAGAGCCGUUAUCUGGACCGUAGCGUUUUGAAGCACAGCAUCACUGGUCUUCAGCCAAACACACUUUAUUCUGUCAGCAUUCACGCUCUCUACAGCAACACGGAAGGGCCAGAUAUCACCCUCUCACAGCAGACAGCCUCUUUGACCGACUCCGAGCUGAUCGAGACAGUUCGCGAGGUGAAGGUUGUGGACACUGGCGUCAGCUCUUUCAAACUGGCAUGGAAGAAAACACCAGGCGUCACUGGCUACAAAAUCACCUGGAGCCCCUUCCACGGUGGAGAGAAGAAGAGUGAGGCCGUGUCUUCUUCUGCCACUUCCUUCACCAUCACUGAUCUGCCAGCCGGUUCUGCCUACAAGAUCCAGCUUUCUGCAAUGGUCAGAAGCAAAGAGGGAAGUCCAGUAAUGGUGACCGCUCGCACUCUGGAUCUGCCCAAGGUGACUGGAUUCAGUGCUCUGAACACCACAGACAACAGCACUGUAUUAAACUGGACGAGUGUGACUGGAGUCUCGGGAUACCUGCUGUCCUGGAGACACAUAUCUGAGGUGGACGUGUCCACUGAUCUGCUGAGCUCUGGCUUCACCUCGUAUAAGAUCCGAGAUCUCCAGUAUGGCAGAACCUACAUCUUUUCCAUCAGGCCACUUUAUGGGGAAGUGGAGGGUCCGGUCACAACCAUCACCAAAAGAAUCUUGGGAGAGCCUCGUCUUGUUCCUGUCCAGAGCUCCACACCGGCUCCUGUCUCUGCAAACACCAAGAGCAAUGACAUGCAUCUCCAAACCACAACCAGAAACACUCGUACCCCAGUGGUCAAAGCCCCUGUUACAGCCUCUGCCACCGGCCAAACGGCUUCAGCACUGAUUAGAAUGACCACAGUCAAUGACCAAAGCAUCCUGUCUGCUGAAACACCUCCACCUGGACCAGUGUGUGGCAGGGUAAAGGCAGAUAUUGUGUUUCUGGUGGAUGAAUCCUGGAGCAUUGGUACUAAUAAUUUUGGAAAGCUGAAGGAUUUCCUAUUCAGAACGGUCACCUACUUCCCCUCUAUAGGACCUAAGGGAACGCAGAUAGCAGUAGUUCACUACAGUGAUCAACCCAGGAUCGAGUUCAACUUCAACACUCAUAAAGACCGUAACUCCGUCUUAAGAGCUCUCCGAGAAGUCCGCUAUGGAGGAGGAAACACAAAAACAGGUCGUGGGAUCAGUUAUGUCCUCAGGGAGAUGUUUCAGGAGUCUUUGGGAAUGAGACAGGAAGCUCCUCAUGUGUUGGUGCUGUUGACGGAUGGAAGAGCACAGGAUGAUGUGGAGCCGCCAUCCAGGAUAGCGCACGCUUUGGGGGUCAGUGUGUUGGUCAUCGGCAUCGCUCACGCCGACAUGGAGGAGGUGAGGACAAUCGCGUCUCCCACCACAUACAAGAACAUCUUCUACGCCAGUGAUUUUGACGACCUCCCAUCCAUCGAGAGAGAGUUCAUCGGUAGCAUUUGCAGCGAAGCCCUGCAGUCCGAAUUUAAACAACACGACGAGUCUGCUCAACUGGACACACCUACAGAAGACCCAGAAGCUCUUGCUAAACCAGAAGGACCUUGUCCGCUUAACUGCAAGGGUCAGAAAGGAGAAAAGGGCGAUGGGUUUGGUCAUGGAGGCCUGCGGCUCCAGCAAGGCCCAGGGCAUUUUGACUCAUUCUCUCUGAAGGUUAAAGGAGAAAAGGGUGAGCGGGGUCUUCCCGGGACUGAUGGUAUUCCAGGUUUACCAGGACGGCCAGGCAGAACUGGACCACCUGGUUCUCCUGGACAAAGGGGGCCUUCUGGAAUUCCCGGAGACAUGGGGCCUCCUGGUAAUACUGGACCUAAAGGACAGAGAGGAGAGAGAGGUGAGCCAGGCUAUGUGAUGGGAGGUAUGGAGGUUCUUCCAGGCCGUAAAGGAGAACCCGGAUCCUCAGGCCCUUCAGGUGCUCCUGGGGUCCCAGGGGUAUCUGGUCCUCCAGGACUGCCUGGUCUUCCUGGGCCUUCAGGGUCUCCAGGACUCUCUAUUAAGGGGGAGUCUGGAGAACCUGGUCCUAAAGGUCCACGUGGAAAACCAGGUCAAAAAGGAGAGAAAGGAGAGCAGGGGAAUAAUGGUUUGCCAGGUUUACCAGGACCAGUGGGAGUGGAUGGACUUCCAGGACUUGCUGGCCAGAAGGGGGAAAAGGGACAGGACGGUAUUGGAACACAAGGUGCUCAAGGUCCACCUGGACCACCUGGAGAAAAGGGAAACACUGGACUCUCAGGCUCAAAGGGUGAAGUAGGAAUCCAAGGACUCCAAGGGAUCGCAGGCCCUCGGGGGAAAAAGGGUCUUAAAGGAGAUCAAGGAGAGAAGGGUGCACAGGGGGAAAAUGGGCCGAUCGGGUCUCCAGGAAUAGCAGGCUUCCCUGGAGCUGCUGGACGAAAGGGCGAUGAGGGGCAACGUGGCGCUCCCGGCGAGCCAGCUAAAGGGAUACUUGGUCCUCCAGGGAAAAAAGGUGCCAGGGGGGAUAUCGGGCUAGUUGGGCCACCAGGACCGCAAGGAAUCAAAGGAGAUCGAGGUGAUAAAGGUGAAAAGGGCAAUCCGGGAUUUGGAAUCCCUGGUCAGCCUGGUCCCAAAGGAGAAAGUGGAGAAAGAGGCAAUGUUGGACUAUCAGGAAAACCAGGGCCUAAAGGCAAUGAUGGGUCCAAAGGAGACAAAGGAGAGAUCGGUUUACCAGGCACCUCAGGUUCUCCAGGACUAAGAGGUAAAGAUGGUGUGCCAGGCCUAAAAGGGGACACAGGAUCAAGGGGAGAACCUGGUUCUCGAGGAGAGCCUGGAGAUAGGGGUGUUAAGGGACCCCUCGGUCUUCCAGGACGACCUGGUGACCCUGGAGACAAAGGCGAGCCUGGGAAAUUAGGCUUACCAGGUCCGGAGGGACACAAAGGAUUGAAAGGCGAGCCGGGAUUGCCGGGACCACCGGGAGUUACUCAAUUUACCACAUCAGACAACACCGUUCUCACCAGGGCCAUUAAGGGUGAACCUGGUGAAUCUGGGCUCCCUGGACCACCGGGGGAGACAGGACGUCCUGGACCACCUGGUCCUGAAGGUAAACCAGGACCUCCAGGAAAUUCACUGUUUGGAUCAAGUACAGGGAAAGACGGUCUGGAUGGUCUGCCAGGAAUCCCUGGAUCUAAGGGUGAAGCCGGACAGAAAGGUGAACCAGGAUCAAAAGGAGAGAAAGGAGAUCACGGACGUGCUGGGAUUACUGGUAUGCCUGGUUUACCUGGGACACCUGGUAAACCUGGUGUUGAUGGGAAGCGUGGAGUUUCUGGAAAAGAUGGAGAACGAGGACCAAAGGGUGAUGAAGGAGAAAAGGGUGUAAAAGGUGAACCUGGUGCAAAUGGAAAUGAAGGUCAAAAAGGAGAGCAAGGAUCUCCAGGAUUGCCAGGUCCUCCUAUUGUCCUACAGGAGGGCAUGUCGAUUGAGGACAUGAAAAAGGCAUUUCCCUUACCGAUGGGACCUCCUGGCGCGACAGGCCCUCCUGGGAUGAAGGGAGAGAAAGGAGAGAUGGGUUUGAAAGGAGAAAAGGGGGAUGCUGGCGCACCUGGGAGAGCGGUUGAAAUGAAGGACAUUGAAGGCUUGUUCGAUUCGUAUGGCAUUAAACUCUCUCUGCUGAAGGCUUUGAUUGACAGGCUGCUUCAGGAUGGAAUGGAGGAGCUUCUUCACGAGAUCAGCACCAGCAGAAGAGUGAAAGGAGACAGAAGAGAUCCUGACUCCAACAUCAUCACUGAAUACACCAGCUCAGUAAAGUACAGUCACCCGCAAGAGCCAUUACCUGAUACAGACUUGAUUGAAGAAGAGUCUGAUCUUGAAGAAGGACAGAUGCCUGAACCCAGUCCUGAGACUGUGGGUGAACCAGAAGUGCUUCCUACUGUUUGGACUAUCUCUACUGUUCGCAAAAAUGAUGAUCUGAGUAAAACCAAGGACAUGCUGGUAGAUGUAGAAGAAAAGAAACUAGUAGAAACCAACUUCAGUGAUGUUACAUCUUUAAAGUUUCUCCAAAUCAACAGCUCCUCUGAAAGGCUGGGUUCUGGAAAGGUUGAGGUAAGUAUGGAGACAGCUUUCCACAGCCAUGAGGACACAGGGAAGAAAACAUCUGGAGAGAAGAAGAAAGGCAGAGAGAAGGGAAAGGGCAAAGGAAAUAAAGGACGUCAAAAACGGCAAAGGAAACGUUUGGAGGGUCAAGACAACAUGGAAGAGGAGCUUCAGGAAGCAUCAUAUGACGAUGAGGAAUACAGUCUUGAAUAUGAGGACGAGCUGCCCACAAAAGAGCCUUUUCCCUCUCAGGAGGAAGAUGGUGGAGGGGAACAGCUAAAAUACUUAGCAACGACAGCUUUAUAUACAGAAGAAAUUGAGGGUGAGACAGAAACGUAUAAGAUUACACAGUCUCCAGAAGAAGUUACACUGACGGCUCACACAACAACAGAGAGUCCUCGGGUAUUAUCAAGCAUCACAGUGCAGAAGCCACCGGAAACCACGUUAUUAUUGAAGCUAAAUGAAACACAAACUGGAGAGGAGGGGAACUUCUCCCAUAGUAGUGGCCUGGAAGCAGCAAGAUAUAAAGUGAAGAGAAGCGCCCUCUCACCUCAGUACAUGGCCCAUAUGCCUGGGACACCAGGAGGACUAAACCGAUACAGGCAAGGAUAUAAGAGGUCGACCUCAGGUACACAAGGCAAAAAUAAGCUGAAUAAAAAGAAACAAGAAAACAAAGAGUCUGAACUUGUGACGGAGACUCACAUGGGCACAGAGAGAGAGGACGAAGGCUAUCUUGACAACAAGGAGAUGGUGACUGAAGAGGAAAGAGAAACGGAGGCACAGUGGGAUGUGGAGGAAGAGGAUGGUGCAACGGAGAGCAAAGAAUACAGCUCAGGCGAUGGCGAUGAGGAGGAAGAGUUUGAGCUGGAGAGGGAGAGAGAGAGACAGGAGAUGGAGAGAGAACGGAUGGAGCUGGAGACGGAACGAGAGGAAGAACUGAAAAGCGAGAGAGAGCGGGAGAGGGAGGUCGAGAUGGAGCAAGAGGAGAGAGAGAGACAGUUGCAGAGACAGAGACUGGAGUGGGAGAGACAAAGAGAACAGAUGGAGAGGGAGAGGAUGGGAGAGACGAGCAGAGAAGAGGACAUGGGGCCACAUAUUUCCCACUGUGAUUAUCUGAAGGGACCUCCUGGUGAAAAUGGAAAACCGGGCCCUAAGGGGGAGAUUGGAGAAAAAGGCCAAAAGGGAGAGCCUGGAACUGGUCACCGUGGGCCAAUUGGACAAGCUGGUCAAGCAGGACAAAAGGGUGAGCCUGGAGAACCAGGACCAACUGGAGCACAGGGCAUUCAGGGUAUUCGUGGCAACCCUGGCAUCCCUGGAUCAGUGGGUCAAAGAGGUCAGCCAGGUGAUCCCGGAGAGCCAGGCAGACAGGGUGAUAGAGGGAAACGAGGGAAGAACGGCUCAGCUGGUGCUCAAGGUGCAAUUGGUCCUCCUGGACAGCCGGGGCCUCCUGGUCUUGCUGGAGUUAAAGGUGAAAAGGGAGACAGUAUCCCAGGGGAACCAGGAGACAGAGGAAAUUCUGGACUCCCGGGUCGCCGGGGAGCCAAAGGCACUGAUGGCAAUAAAGGACCACCAGGUCACAUGGGUCCCAAAGGCCUGACUGGUGCGAAAGGAGAAAAGGGUGACAAAGGUAUGUCCGGUCACCGAGGAGAGAAAGGCAGCCCUCUCUCCAUGCCAGGUCCCAGAGGAUAUAAGGGUCUAAAAGGAGAUACAGGUGAACGCGGACUUCCUGGAUUUGAUGGAGAUAAAGGAGAGAAGGGUGAAGAUGGUCCACCUGGUGCAAAAGUAUUUUACACAUCAUUCUAAGGGCUCAAGGGUGAAGCUGGUACCAAAGGAGGCAUGGGACCUUUUGGUGCACGUGGUCCAGUAGGACAAAAGGGAGAUCCAGGGGAACCAGGUGCCAAUGGGGAAAAG
Danio rerio (zebrafish) is the source of this 8349-nucleotide non-coding RNA. Lineage: Eukaryota; Metazoa; Chordata; Actinopteri; Cypriniformes; Danionidae. The record is from RefSeq and is a predicted model, not a curated record.